Molecule: small nucleolar RNA, 107 nt
Organism: Mangifera indica (mango)
Lineage: Eukaryota; Viridiplantae; Streptophyta; Magnoliopsida; Sapindales; Anacardiaceae
Source: RefSeq, a predicted model, not a curated record
AUUUGGUGAUGUGGACAACUCGUAUAGAGUUUUUUAAAACGCUUCCAGUAUUCGUAUAAAGACUCUCUACUCUGCUGCCUAAUGCCUCAAAUUUCUUUCCUUAUGCU